RNAcentral lists this ribosomal RNA (1395 nucleotides) under uncultured bacterium. Its description in RNAcentral is "bacterial SSU rRNA". It matches the Rfam family "Bacterial small subunit ribosomal RNA". The record is from RNAcentral.
GAGUUUGAUCAUGGCUCAGGACGAACGCUGGCGGCGUGCUUAACACAUGCAAGUCGAACGGAAAGGCCCUCACCUUGGUGGGGGUGCUCGAGUGGCGAACGGGUGAGUAACACGUGGGUGAUCUGCCCUGUACUUCGGGAUAAGCUUGGGAAACUGGGUCUAAUACCGGAUAGGACCAUGGUUUAGUGUCUCAUGGUGGAAAGAUUAUUGUUUUGGUGCAGGAUGAGCUCGCGGCCUAUCAGCUUGUUGGUGGGGUAAUGGCCUACCAAGGCGUCGACGGGUAGCCGGCCUGAGAGGGUGAUCGGCCACAAGGGGACUGAGACACGGCCCUUACUCCUACGGGAGGCAGCAGUGGGGAAUAUUGGACAAUGGACCAAGAGUCUGAUCCAGCAAUUCUGUGUGCACGAUGAAGUUUUUCGGAAUGUAAAGUGCUUUCAGUUGGGAAGAAAGAAAUGACGGUACCAACAGAAGAAGUGACGGCUAAAUACGUGCCAGCAGCCGCGGUAAUACGUAUGUCACGAGCGUUAUCCGGAUUUAUUGGGCGUAAAGCGCGUCUAGGUGGUUAUAUAAGUCUGAUGUGAAAAUGCAGGGCUCAACUCUGUAUUGCGUUGGAAACUGUAUAACUAGAGUACUGGAGAGGUAAGCGGAACUACAAGUGUAGAGGUGAAAUUCGUAGAUAUUUGUAGGAAUGCCGAUGGGGAAGCCAGCUUACUGGACAGAUACUGACGCUGAAGCGCGAAAGCGUGGGUAGCAAACAGGAUUAGAUACCCUGGUAGUCCACGCCGUAAACGAUGAUUACUAGGUGUUGGGGGUCGAACCUCAGCGCCCAAGCAAACGCGAUAAGUAAUCCGCCUGGGGAGUACGUACGCAAGUAUGAAAACUCAAAGGAAUUGACGGGGACCCGCACAAGCGGUGGAGCAUGUGGUUUAAUUCGACGCAACGCGAGGAACCUUACCAGCGCUUGACAUCUUAGGAAUGAGACAGAGAUGUUUCAGUGUCCCUUCGGGGAAAUCUAAAGACAGGUGGUGCAUGGCUGUCGUCAGCUCGUGUCGUGAGAUGUUGGGUUAAGUCCCGCAACGAGCGCAACCCCUUUCGUAUGUUACCAUCAUUAAGUUGGGGACUCAUGCGAUACUGCCUGCGAUGAGUAGGAGGAAGGUGGGGAUGACGUCAAGUCAUCAUGCCCCUUAUACGCUGGGCUACGCACGUGCUACGAAUGGGUAGAACAGAGAGUUGCAAAAGCUGUGAAAGUGGAGCUAAUCUCAGAAAAACUAUUUCUUAGUUUCGGAUUGUACUCUGCGAACUCGAGUACGUGAAAGUUGGAAAUCGCUAGUAAUCGCGAAUUCGGCAAUGUCGCGGUAAAUACGUUUCUCGGGUUCUUGCAACACCCGCCCGUCA